AAAUUGAAGAGUUUGAUCAUGGCUCAGAUUGAACGCUGGCGGCAGGCCUAACACAUGCAAGUCGAGCGGUAGCACAGAGAGCUUGCUCUCGGGUGACGAGCGGCGGACGGGUGAGUAAUGUCUGGGAAACUGUCUGAUGGAGGGGGAUAACUACUGGAAACGGUAGCUAA
This 170-nucleotide ribosomal RNA is filed under the name Klebsiella pneumoniae. RNAcentral describes it as "partial 16S ribosomal RNA". It matches the Rfam family "Bacterial small subunit ribosomal RNA", at positions 1 to 166 of the family's 1533-position model. Lineage: Bacteria; Pseudomonadati; Pseudomonadota; Gammaproteobacteria; Enterobacterales; Enterobacteriaceae. The record is from RNAcentral.